GAUGAACGCUGGCGGCGUGCCUAAUACAUGCAAGUCGAGCGAACAGACGAGGAGCUUGCUCCUCUGACGUUAGCGGCGGACGGGUGAGUAACACGUGGAUAACCUACCUAUAAGACUGGGAUAACUUCGGGAAACCGGAGCUAAUACCGGAUAAUAUAUUGAACCGCAUGGUUCAAUAGUGAAAGACGGUUUUGCUGUCACUUAUAGAUGGAUCCGCGCCGCAUUAGCUAGUUGGUAAGGUAACGGCUUACCAAGGCAACGAUGCGUAGCCGACCUGAGAGGGUGGUCGGCCACCCUGGAACUGAGACGCGGUCCAGACUCCUACGGGAGGCAGCAGUAGGGAAUCUUCCGCAAUGGGCGAAAGCCUGACGGAGCAACGCCGCGUGAGUGAUGAAGGUCUUCGGAUCGUAAAACUCUGUUAUUAGGGAAGAACAAAUGUGUAAGUAACUAUGCACGUCUUGACGGUACCUGAUCAGAAAGCCACGGCUAACUACGUG
This 497-nucleotide ribosomal RNA is filed under the name uncultured bacterium. RNAcentral's name for it is "partial 16S ribosomal RNA". It matches the Rfam family "Bacterial small subunit ribosomal RNA", at positions 28 to 507 of the family's 1533-position model. The record is from RNAcentral.